This 926-nucleotide ribosomal RNA is filed under the name uncultured Bacteroidota bacterium. RNAcentral describes it as "bacterial SSU rRNA". It matches the Rfam family "Bacterial small subunit ribosomal RNA", at positions 1 to 917 of the family's 1533-position model. The record is from RNAcentral. Lineage: Bacteria; Pseudomonadati; Bacteroidota.
UGGAUCCAGACUUUGAUUCUGGCUCAGGAUGAACGCUAGCGACAGGCUUAACACAUGCAAGUCGAGGGGCAGCGGGGAAGUAGCAAUACUUCCGCCGGCGACCGGCGCACGGGUGAGUAACACGUAUGCAACCUGCCCUUGUCAGGGGGAUAAUCGGAAGAAAUUCCGUCUAAUACCGCAUAACGCCCCUGGGAGACAUCUCCAGGGGGCCAAAGAUUUAUCGGACAAGGAUGGGCAUGCGGCGCAUUAGUUAGUUGGCGGGGUAACGGCCCACCAAGACGACGAUGCGUAGGGGUUCUGAGAGGAAGGUCCCCCACACUGGUACUGAGACACGGACCAGACUCCUACGGGAGGCAGCAGUGAGGAAUAUUGGUCAAUGGCCGAGAGGCUGAACCAGCCAAGUCGCGUGAGGGAAGACGGUCCUAUGGAUUGUAAACCUCUUUUGCCGGGGAGCAAAAUCGUCCACGCGCUGGACGUUCGAGAGUACCCGGAGAAAAAGCAUCGGCUAACUCCGUGCCAGCAGCCGCGGUAAUACGGAGGAUGCGAGCGUUAUCCGGAUUUAUUGGGUUUAAAGGGUGCGUAGGCGGACUGUUAAGUCAGCGGUAAAAUCGAGAGGCUCAACCUCUUCCCGCCGUUGAAACUGGCAGCCUUGAGUGGGCGAGAAGUAUGCGGAAUGCGUGGUGUAGCGGUGAAAUGCAUAGAUAUCACGCAGAACUCCGAUUGCGAAGGCAGCAUACCGGCGCCCAACUGACGCUGAAGCACGAAAGCGUGGGUAUCGAACAGGAUUAGAUACCCUGGUAGUCCACGCAGUAAACGAUGAAUGCUAAUUGUCCGGGCCGAAAGAGGCCUGGGUGAUAAAGCGAAAGCGUUAAGCAUUCCACCUGGGGAGUACGCCGGCAACGGUGCAACUCAAAGGAAUUGACGGA